UACGGAGGGUGCGAGCGGUAUUCGGAAUCAUUGGGCGUAAAGAGCGUGUAGGCGGCCGGUUAAGUCAGGUGUGAAAGCCCGGGGCUCAACCUCGGAAGUGCACUUGAAACUGGUCGGCUUGAGUUCGGGAGAGGGAAGCGGAAUUCCUGGUGUAGAGGUGAAAUUCGUAGAUAUCAGGAGGAACACCGGUGGCGAAGGCGGCUUCCUGGACCGAAACUGACGCUGAGACGCGAAAGCGUGGGGAGCAAACAGG
This 253-nucleotide ribosomal RNA is filed under the name uncultured bacterium. RNAcentral's name for it is "partial 16S ribosomal RNA". It matches the Rfam family "Bacterial small subunit ribosomal RNA", at positions 524 to 776 of the family's 1533-position model. The record is from RNAcentral.